Molecule: ribosomal RNA, 253 nt
Filed under: uncultured Bacteroides sp.
Lineage: Bacteria; Pseudomonadati; Bacteroidota; Bacteroidia; Bacteroidales; Bacteroidaceae
Description: partial 16S ribosomal RNA
Rfam family: Bacterial small subunit ribosomal RNA
Source: RNAcentral
UACGGAGGAUGCGAGCGUUAUCCGGAUUUAUUGGGUUUAAAGGGAGCGUAGGCGGGUUGUUAAGUCAGUUGUGAAAGUUUGCGGCUCAACCGUAAAAUUGCAGUUGAUACUGGCAUCCUUGAGUACAGUAGAGGUAGGCGGAAUUCGUGGUGUAGCGGUGAAAUGCUUAGAUAUCACACAGAACACCGAUUGCGAAGGCAUCUCACGAAUCCGCUAUUGACGCUGAUGCACGAAAGCGUGGGUAUCAAACAGG